UGUGAUAUCAAAUAUACCUCUUGAGCUUCCAUCCCGUGGCAACAAAUUCCGGCAACUUUGGUCGACUCCCGCGGCCAAUUUGAUGCCGGAGAACGCGACAUAUUUUCCGUAUAGAAAUUCAAGAUUUCCAUUGGACCUCAAAACUAUCAGCAAAGUUUAAAAAUCCAAAAACCCAUUGUUUGCAUAAUUGAACAGAAACGUUCCACUAUACAGCUAAAUUAAACCAGUCAUCAAUUCAGUUGUAACAAAGAAAGGAAUAAUGGAAGUAAAUAGUUAGGAUCACUUGUAUGUAAUAUAGACAACACAUAAUUAUAGAUUUUAAUCGAACAUAAAAUCGAUACUUAUCUCUUGAAGCGUGACCCGGAUAAUGCCCNNN
Molecule: long non-coding RNA, 376 nt
Filed under: Nicotiana benthamiana
Lineage: Eukaryota; Viridiplantae; Streptophyta; Magnoliopsida; Solanales; Solanaceae
Description: long non-coding RNA (NBEN_LNC035030)
Source: RNAcentral